Molecule: non-coding RNA, 90 nt
Filed under: human gut metagenome
Description: TPP riboswitch (THI element)
Rfam family: TPP riboswitch aptamer (THI element)
About the family: Vitamin B(1) in its active form thiamin pyrophosphate (TPP) is an essential coenzyme that is synthesised by coupling of pyrimidine and thiazole moieties in bacteria. The previously detected thiamin-regulatory element, thi box was extended, resulting in a new, highly conserved RNA secondary structure, the THI element, which is widely distributed in eubacteria and also occurs in some archaea.
Source: RNAcentral
AUAAUCAGGGGUGCCGACCGGAUCGGCUGAGACGGAAGAAUUCUUCCGAACCCUUGCACCUGAUAUGGGUAAUACCAGCGUAGGAAGAUU